RNAcentral lists this ribosomal RNA (506 nucleotides) under uncultured bacterium. RNAcentral describes it as "partial 16S ribosomal RNA". It matches the Rfam family "Bacterial small subunit ribosomal RNA", at positions 29 to 523 of the family's 1533-position model. The record is from RNAcentral.
AGUGAACGCUGGCGGUAGGCCUAACACAUGCAAGUCGAACGGCAGCACAGGAGAGCUUGCUCUCUGGGUGGCGAGUGGCGGACGGGUGAGGAAUACAUCGGAAUCUACUUUUUCGUGGGGGAUAACGGAGGGAAACUUACGCUAAUACCGCAUAUGACCUACAGGAGAAAGCAGGGGACCUUCGGGCCUUGCGCGAUUGUAUGAGCCGAUGUCGGAUUAGCUAGUUGGCGGGGUAAAGGCCCACCAAGGCGACGAUCCGUAGCUGGUCUGAGAGGAUGAUCAGCCACACUGGAACUGAGACACGGUCCAGACUCCUACGGGAGGCAGCAGUGGGGAAUAUUGGACAAUGGGUGCAAGCCUGAUCCAGCCAUACCGCGUGGGUGAAGAAGGCCUUCGGGUUGUAAAGCCCUUUUGUUGGGAAAGAAAUCCAGCUGGCUAAUACCCGGUUGGGAUGACGGUACCCAAAGAAUAAGCACCGGCUAACUUCGUGCCAGCCGCCGCCGUAA